RNAcentral lists this ribosomal RNA (431 nucleotides) under uncultured bacterium. RNAcentral describes it as "partial 16S ribosomal RNA". It matches the Rfam family "Bacterial small subunit ribosomal RNA", at positions 338 to 795 of the family's 1533-position model. The record is from RNAcentral.
CCUACGGGGGGCAGCAGUGGGGAAUUUUGGACAAUGGGGGCAACCCUGAUCCAGCCAUGCCGCGUGCGGGAAGAAGGCCUUCGGGUUGUAAACCGCUUUUUAGAGAUUCGCGGUACCUGAAGAAUAAGCACCGGCUAACUACGUGCCAGCAGCCGCGGUAAUACGUAGGGUGCAAGCGUUAAUCGGAAUUACUGGGCGUAAAGCGUGCGCAGGCGGUUAUGCAAGACAGAUGUGAAAUCCCCGGGCUUAACCUGGGAACUGCAUUUGUGACUGCAUAGCUGGAGUACGGCAGAGGGGGAUGGAAUUCCGCGUGUAGCAGUGAAAUGCGUAGAUAUGCGGAGGAACACCGAUGGCGAAGGCAGUCCCCUGGCCGUACUGACGCUCAUGCACGAAAGCGUGGGGAGCAAACAGGAUUAGAUACCCUUGUAGUC